ACUUAUUUUGUUCGCAAUUUAGGAUCGGGGGGACAGUGGCGAACGGGUGAGUAACGCGUAAGCAAUCUGCCCUUAACUGCGGAAUAACUCUUCGAAAGAGGCGCUAAUACCGCAUGUGGCCCCCUGAUGGCAUCAUCGGGGGGUUAAAGAUGUGUCUCGCUUGCGGGAUAUGUCGGUUAGGGAUGAGCUUGCGUCCUAUUAGCUUGUUGGUAGGGUAAUGGCCUACCAAGGCUCUGAUGGGUAGCUGGUCUGAGAGGAUGGUCAGCCACACUGGGACUGAGACACUGCCCAGACUCCUACGGGAGGCUGCAGUCGAGAAUCAUCCGCAAUGGGCGAAAGCCUGACGGUGCGACGCCGCGUGGAGGAUGAAGGCCUUCGGGUUGUAAACUCCUUUCACUCGGGAAGAAAAAUCAUUUCGUGAAUAACGGAUGACCUGACGGUACCGGGAGAAGAAGCCCUGGCUAACUCCGUGCCAGCAGCCGCGGUAAUACGGAGAGGGCUAGCGUUGUUCGGAUUU
Molecule: ribosomal RNA, 517 nt
Filed under: uncultured bacterium
Lineage: Bacteria
Description: bacterial SSU rRNA
Rfam family: Bacterial small subunit ribosomal RNA
Source: RNAcentral